Molecule: ribosomal RNA, 305 nt
Filed under: uncultured eukaryote
Lineage: Eukaryota
Description: partial 18S ribosomal RNA
Rfam family: Eukaryotic small subunit ribosomal RNA
Source: RNAcentral
CCCUUAGAUGUUCUGGGCUGCACGCGCGCUACACUGACGCACGCAACAGGUGCCUGCUCCGAGAGGACUGGGUAAUCAUUUGAGUGUGCGUCGUGAUGGGGAUAGAAUAUUGUAAUUAUUACUCUUCAACGAGGAAUUCCUAGUAAGCGCAAGUCAUCAACUUGCGUUGAUUACGUCCCUGCCCUUUGUACACACCGCCCGUCGCUACUACCGAUUGAAUGGUUUAGUGAGGCCUUCGGAUCCGCGAUUUUAUUGUGGAGAAGUUGGACAAACUCAGUCAUUUAGAGGAAGUAAAAGUCGUAACA